CUUGACCUCAAAUCGGGUGAGACUACCCGCUGAACWUAAGCAUAUCAAUAAGCGGAG
This 57-nucleotide ribosomal RNA is filed under the name Lactarius subdulcis. RNAcentral's name for it is "partial 25S ribosomal RNA". The record is from RNAcentral. Lineage: Eukaryota; Fungi; Basidiomycota; Agaricomycetes; Russulales; Russulaceae.